CCUCUCAAGGAUACAGAAGUAAACUCCUACAUCCUCAAGGGUCUAGACCUCGAGUACAACUCAGUGGUCUCGGCCAUCACUGCCCGCGUCGAGCCGGUCUCCAUGCCGGAACUCUACAGUCAGUUGAUAAGCUUCGAGG
Molecule: non-coding RNA, 139 nt
Organism: Triticum urartu
Lineage: Eukaryota; Viridiplantae; Streptophyta; Magnoliopsida; Poales; Poaceae
Source: Rfam